This is a long non-coding RNA of Cuculus canorus (common cuckoo), 1852 nucleotides long. RefSeq lists it as uncharacterized. The record is from RefSeq and is a predicted model, not a curated record. The transcript is spliced from 3 exons. NCBI's taxonomy places the organism in Eukaryota, Metazoa, Chordata, Aves, Cuculiformes, Cuculidae.
GGGGCCGGGAGCGAGAGUUCAGAGCUCGGUGUCCCUGCAGGGAGAGCGUGGAUUGGCAUCGUCUCUGCAAAGCAUCAUAGUUCGGUGGGAGCGGGGCUGGAAGUUUCGUGAGCUCGAGGAAUGCGGGAAGCAGAUGGGACCAGAGACGAUGGGAGUUGCCCAGAGAUGUGAUGUGUUAAAUGAAGGCUCCGUACCAACUCAAAUCAAGGCAAGAAGGGGAUGCUGCAGCUUUAAAGACGCACAAGAUGCAGCUUUAAAGACGCACAAGAUACAGCUUUAAAGAUAUACAAGAUGCAGCUUUAGAGACGCACAAGAUGCAGCUUUAGAGACACAGAAGAUGCAGCUUUAAAGAUGCACAAAAUGCAGCUUUAAAGACGCACAAGAUGCAGCUUUAAAGACACAGAAGAUGCAGCUUUCGAGACACAGAAGAUGCAGCUUUAGAGACACACAAGAUGCAGCUUUAGAGACGCACAAGAAACAGGCGGCUCUUUGAACACAGGUCAUGCUUUAUUCACAGUCUGCUUGCUGUUAUUCCAGCCUUCGUCCAGGGACCAUGCCAGGACACAAGUGACCAAAGUAAGUUACAUUAGAAAUAAUUACAAAGCAUUCUUUGCUGGGAAGAUCACCAGCCCCUCUCUCACUCUGUCACGCUAAAAUAGAGAACUCCUGGCAAAAGCUGCCUCGACGCCAGCUUCUCACUGGCUGUGAGAGGUUUUGUGCCUGGAGUUGCACACAGAGGAUCCCUGCAGCCAGUUGUAUGACUAGGAGAGAUAAUCACACUGCCAACUGGCAUGCUUAAAAGAAAAUCCCACCUUUCAUAGCUAGCCACCUAGCAAGAAAAAGUGUUGGACUGAUGCAUAGAGAAAUCCCUGUUUUGAAGCAGCCUCUUGCCCCCAGCGGCUCCUGCUGUGCUGCAGGACUGAGCUUCCCCGGAAGCACAGUGGGCAGAAAGGAAAUUGCGUCCCUGACACGUAUUUUUAAACUUGUAGGAGGAGGGACGUGGUAUCAAAGGUCAAGUGCAUCAUCCUGUCAAGGUCUCUGUGGCUUGGAUGAAUUAAAAACAAAUCAACAUUAAAAAUAAGUCAAGAGUGCUUCUCUCCCACAACUUGUCUCAGUAGGAAUUGGCCACUGAGUGAGGGUGUGAGUGAGGUACAGUGAGGGUGGCUUAGAAAGCUGAAGUAUAGGUUCCCAUCUUCCCUUUCAGUGCAGCAGCACAAUUUUAAGAAGAGUAAAUCAAGAUAUGGAAUCCCCCCACCCCUUACAAUCUGCAUCUUCCUGUGAACUCCACCUGGGACAGCGAGAGCAGGAGGCACUCUGGCACAACUGGCAGCGGGACAUGAUGAAAGGAUGAAGGGCUGUUCUAGCCAGGGAGCCUGGCCAGAAGAGCUCGAGUUUUUCAGAGCUCUUCCCGUGAAGCCAUGCCAAAUCCCUCCACAGCAGUGGCCAGCUUACCUGGAGGAAACAAGAACAGAGAUGCAGCUGUGCUCCGUGCCCCCAGCUCUGAGGGGGGCAGGGGGAAGAGGUAAGAUCACUGGAAAACAUGAGGCUGAAGCUUGCUGUGUAAGCAGUCAAGGUUUGUAGUCGCUCAGAUCUUAAAAGGUAGACUGGUCCCUGCUCAACGUGUUCUCUUCAGAUAAGCAGACUUGACAGGUAGGUUGAAGCGUGCACCCAUGUGUUUAUUUACCUUGAGGCUGAUGGGAAAGGACCAGCUAGCAAAUGCUUGCACACUGUUCCAUACCAUGUGGCAAGUCAGCGUUGACCGACAGCCACUCGGUGACAAAUUCAGAGCUACCUGUCUACUUCAGGAGAUGAGUCUUGUGGUGUCAGGUGCUCUCUAGUCAUGUGGGGAAGG